GACGUAGGGCGCGAGCGUUGUCCGGAUUUAUUGGGCGUAAAGAGCUCGUAGGCGGCUUGUCGCGUCGACUGUGAAAUCCCGCGGCUCAACUGCGGGUCUGCAGUCGAUACGGGCAGGCUAGAGUUCGGUAGGGGAGACUGGAAUUCCUGGUGUAGCGGUGAAAUGCGCAGAUAUCAGGAGGAACACCGAUGGCGAAGGCAGGUCUCUGGGCCGAUACUGACGCUGAGACGCGAAAGCGUGGGGAGCGAACCGG
RNAcentral lists this ribosomal RNA (253 nucleotides) under uncultured bacterium. Its description in RNAcentral is "partial 16S ribosomal RNA". It matches the Rfam family "Bacterial small subunit ribosomal RNA", at positions 524 to 776 of the family's 1533-position model. The record is from RNAcentral.